UCAUGCAAGUGAACGAGAAAGUUUUCUUCGGAAAGCGAGUAAAGUGGCGCACGGGUGAGUAACGCGUGAAUAAUCUACCCCUGAAUUUGGGAUAACAGUUCGAAAGGGCUGCUAAUACCGGAUGAAAUAAUCCUUACCACGGUUUGGGUUAUCAAAGAGGGCCUCUCCUUGGAAGCUCUUGUUUGGGGAUGAGUUCGCGUACCAUUAGCUUGUUGGUGGGGUAAGAGCCUACCAAGGCUUCGAUGGUUAGCUGGUCUGAGAGGAUGAUCAGCCACACUGGAACUGACACACGGUCCAGACUCCUACGGGAGGCAGCAGUGAGGAAUUUUGCGCAAUGGGGGAAACCCUGACGCAGCAACGCCGCGUGAGUGAUGAAGGCUCUUGGGUCGUAAAGCUCUGUCAAGUGGGAAGAACCUCUCCUUAUUUAAAAGAUGGGGAGACUGACGGUACCACUGAAGGAAGCACCGGCUAACUCCGUGCCAGCAGCCGCGGUAACACGGGGGGUGCAAGCGUUAUUCGGAAUUAUUGGGCGUAAAGGGCGCGUAGGCGGCCAUUUAAGUCGGGUGUGAAAUCCCGGGGCUUAACCCCGGAACUGCAUCCGAUACUGGAUGGCUUGAGUAUGGGAGAGGGAAGUGGAAUUCCAGGUGUAGAGGUGAAAUUCGUAGAUAUCUGGAGGAACACCAGUGGCGAAGGCGACUUCCUGGACCAAUACUGACGCUGAGGCGCGAAGGCGUGGGGAGCAAACAGGAUUAGAACCCUGGUAUCCACGCAUGAAAGG
Molecule: ribosomal RNA, 778 nt
Filed under: uncultured bacterium
Lineage: Bacteria
Description: bacterial SSU rRNA
Rfam family: Bacterial small subunit ribosomal RNA
Source: RNAcentral